GGGGGGGGGGGGGGUGUUUCGGCGGCGGUCCCACAAAAACCGCUUUGUAAAAAUUUAAACUCAGGUCUGUUGAGAAGACGUUGGGGGAAAAGACGUGAACUUGGGAGUAAUAAUAACACCUGUGAUUUCACGUUGCUGUUUUCUCAAACGGUCGUUUAAAAAGCUUUUUCCCCACUUAUUCUUAUUCGUAACAGUCCACACAUUUGUGUCUUUUAUUUCAAAUGAACAACAACAAAAAAGAAGUUACCUUCAAUAACAAAGUGACUAGACGCUCCGGAAUGAUCAGCGACGCGUUGACACCCGAGAUGAUCUACACGGCGGUCCAUGAAGUACGCCAACGACAAACGAGGCUUCAGGAAGGCCGCAACGUUCCACGUUGAUUCACAGUUAUGCACAGCGGCGGCACUCAGACGAGCCGUGAGGGAAAUGUUUGGGCCGAGUAGAUGUCUCCGACUCCUGCGGUAACUCCACCGCUGAGGGGACAACAUGUGUGCUGCUGCUGCUGCUGCUGGUGGUGCUGCUGGUGGUGAUGGCGCAGUGGUGUGCAGCCAAUCAGGAGCGGACUCGCCAUGACAACCUCCAGACAACCUUUCACAGGUCAGGUCCCAAAUGGCUUGGAGGUCAAUAAACGCAUCACACUCCACCUCCCUUCCUCCAUCCCUCCAUCUCUCGCUGUGAAGGAGCGAGUCGGGUAUGUUGGGUGUGCAGUCACAGUGAACCUCCAUCACGUCUCCUCGUGGUGAAAAUCCUGCACAUUAUCUGCAGAUUGUGUCUCUAAAAUGAAGAUGGAGACGUGAAGCACAUCCGAACUCCUCCUCCUAUCUGGUUUUAUGCAUCAGUCCCAAAUCCUGACCAUCAUUCGGUGACCGUUUGAGGACCACAUUCAAAUGAAAGUCGUUUCUUGUUUAAGCAAUUUACUCGCAUCCCCUCGUGCUUUAGGAAAUACAGACUAACAGUUAAAGACUAAAUGCUGAAACCUAUUAGAAGAUGAAUUGAAUAUGGAAUCACAUAUUGGGUUCAUUUGAGCAUAAAUGCCACAGCUGUCAUGUCACGGCGCGACGUUCCUGCUACUGCAGGAACUCUACGCUCUACACCAUUACAAACACACACGCACAACUUUGAGUCUUUCUUAGGUUCUUUCAUGGCCAAAAUAAUGAAAACGGG
Molecule: long non-coding RNA, 1164 nt
Organism: Gasterosteus aculeatus aculeatus (three-spined stickleback)
Lineage: Eukaryota; Metazoa; Chordata; Actinopteri; Perciformes; Gasterosteidae
Source: Ensembl